ACCGUUCAUCUUUAAUAAGCAGCUGAAAAAACCAAUUUUUCAGUGAGAAGGCUUGUAAAGACGGAAGUAAGGAUAUAUCCCCAAGGAACGCGCC
RNAcentral lists this non-coding RNA (94 nucleotides) under Scytonema millei. Its description in RNAcentral is "Glutamine-I sequence". It matches the Rfam family "Glutamine riboswitch aptamer (glnA leader)". Lineage: Bacteria; Bacillati; Cyanobacteriota; Cyanophyceae; Nostocales; Scytonemataceae. The record is from RNAcentral.